GUGCGCAGGCGUCGUCAGUAGACAUCGCGCAGGCGUCGUCAGUAGACAUCGCGCAGGCGUCGUCAGUAGACAUCGCGCAGGCGUCGUCAGUAGACAUCGCGCAGGCGUCGUCAGUAGACAUCGCGCAGGCGUCGUCAGUAGACAUCGCGCAGGCGUCGUCAGUAGACAUCGCGCAGGCGUCGUCAGUAGACAUCGCGCAGGCGUCGUCAGUAGACAUCGCGCAGGCGUCGUCAGUAGACAUCGCGCAGGCGUCGUCAGUAGACAUCGCGCAGGCGUCGUCAGUAGACAUCGCGCAGGCGUCGUCAGUAGACAUCGCGCAGGCGUCGUCAGUAGACAUCGCGCAGGCGUCGUCAGUAGACAUCGCGCAGGCGAUGGAUGAGGCGGCUUUGGCCGCCAUGUUUCCGUCGCAGUAACCGCCUUGGUGUCAGUAUUCAUUGCCAGUUUCGGGCGUUCUGGACAAUUGGGAUGCUGCAGAGUUCAUGGCUGCUCGUUGCGUGGGACAAGAAUCCUCUGCAAUGGUUUGUUUUGGCUGCCCAGGAGGUGCGUCAAGUCGCUGCCGCUCCCCUCGUGGGCGUCAGGCCUCAGAGUUCCCCGCCUAGAAAAUGGAGCUCAGCCAGUCGUGCGUACCACGGUGCACCUGGUUUUGCAGCCUAAGCGGGUCACUUUAGUGCAUCCUCCUCGCGGAUUGGAGCCUGUUUGCACCCCUAUAGCCCGAAUGAGACCCAAGUCACACGGGCUCAGAUGUUCUUCGCCCCUGGCCAUGAUCCCCCAGCCAGCCACCCGAGUUUCCAGGCCUCAGGCGCUUUGGAAACGCCUGUACGUCGCCUGUACCUGAAUGGCAGGUACUCAUCUGCUUUAGCUACAUCAUAGUCUGCACCACUUCUGCCAGCUCGAUUGCAGCCUGGAUUUGAGUCAGAAACUUUUCAUGGUGGAUGAGGGUUGUAAAUAUCCAAAGCGACUCCAGAUGAAAUUGCCCUCAUCAAAGGAAGCUCAGAUGACAGAUUUCUGCAUAGAAGCCAAAAAAGCCUUCCCUCAAGGAAAGAGUCAGUUUCAAGUAUUUGCAAACUCAGAACAGUGUCAAUUUUAGAUCACUACAAUGCUGCCCAUCAAGGAAGAACCCUAUUGCUCCCUGGCGUCUCUCCUUGAGCCCUAAACACAGUAGAUUCAGAAACUAAGUCAGCAAAUGGAGGAAGAUUCUUAACCGUGAUAAGUUGGAAAACGUGCGUCAGAGGGCCACAUCCCUUCCUCGAGUUCAGGCUACCACCUGACUGCAGGUCAGAGCUGGAAGAGACAGUGAAAAUUGCAGGUCUGGAGCCGGACUGAGAUGGGGAGUAGAGGGACCCCUUGAAACUUCAGGGUGGAUGAAUAUGAAGUUUCAUCACCAGCUGUGAUGUUUGAUAUUGGACUGUGUGCCAGUUGACACUCAGGAGUGGAGACUAGAUCUGCAAUCUGUUGGGACUGUGAUGAGGGGAUCAUCCUGCCCUCGAACCAGACCCAGCCCUGUAGCCCAGGCACUAUUGCCUGGAGUUCCUGGGCUCUCAGCGCCAGGAAAUCAUGAGGUUCAGUGUCUCAGGCAUGAGGACCGACUACCACAGGAGUGUGCUGGCUCCUGCUUAUGUGUCAGUCUGUCUCCUCCUCUUGUGUCCAAGGGAAGUCAUCGCUCCCGCUGGCUCAGAACCAUGGCUGUGCCAGCCGGCACCCAGGUGUGGAGACAAGAUCUACAACCCCUUGGAGCAGUGCUGUUACGAUGAUGCCAUCGUGUCCCUGAGCGAGACCCGCCAAUGUGGUCCCCACUACACCUUCUGGCCCUGCUUUGAGCUCUGCUGUCCUGAGUCCUUUGGCCUCACAAACGAUUUUGUUGUGAAGCUGAAGGUUCAGGGUGUGAAUUCCCAGUGCCACUCAUCUCCCAUCUCCAGUAAAUGUGAAAGCAGAAGACGUUUUCCCUGAGAAGACAUAGAAAGAAAAUCAACUUUCAGUGAGGCAUCUCGGAAACACAGGCUAGGGCAAGGAAGACUAUUCAAGACUAUUGCAAUGGAGGAAAGAGGAAAGAGAUUGAACUCAGCUCUGCUGAAACGAAAGGCUGGAGAGUUUUUAAGUACACUAUUAUUGUGUGGGAGUCUAAGUCUCUUUGAAGGUCUUUAAGAGUUUCCUCUAUUAAUCUAUGUGCUUCUCUGUUGGUUGCAAAUAUAUUUAGGAUAAUUAGGUCUUCUUGUUGAAUUUAUGUGAUGCCCUUUACCAUUAUGUUAUGCCCUUCUUUUUUUAUCUUCGUUGGUUUAAUGUCUUUGUCUGAAAUUAGGAUUGCAACUCCUGCUUUUUUCUGUUUUCCAUUAGCUUAGUAGAUUUUCCUCCAUUCCUUUAUUUUGAGCCUAUGAGUGCCAUUAAGUGUGAGAUGGGCUUCUUGAAGACAGCAUACCAUUGGGUCUUGCUUUUUUAUCCAGCUUACUAGUCUGUGUCUUUUAAGUGAGGCCUUUAGCCUGUUUACAUUAAAGGUUAGUAUUGAUAUAUGUGGAUUUGAUCCUGUCAUUGUGCUGUUAGCUGGUUAUUAUGUUGGCUUGUUUGUGUGGUUGCUUUAUAGUGACACUGGUCUGUGUGUUUAAGUGUGUUUUUGUAUUAGCUGGUUGUGGUCUUUCUUUCUAUAUUUAGUGCUCCUUUCAAAAUCUCUUGUAAGGCAGACCUGGUGGUAAUGAAUUCCCUCAACAUUUGCUUAUCUGAAAAGGAUCUUAGGAAGCAUAGUUUGGCUGGAUAUAAAAUUCUUGGUUGAAGACUUUUUCUUUGAGAAUGUUGAAUAUAGAUCCCCAAUCUCUUCUGGCUCGUGCUGAGAAGUCUGCUGUUAGCCUGAUGGGGUUCUCUUUGUAGGUGACCUGCCAUUUCUCUCUAGGUGCCUUUAACAUUCUUUCUUUCAUUUCAACCUUGGAAAAUCUGAUGAUUAUGUGUCUUGGGGAUGAUCUCCUUGUGUAGAAUCUUGCAAGAGUUCUCUGUAUUUCCUGAAUUUGUCUGUUGGCUUCUCUAGCAAGGUUGAGAAAGUUUUCAUGGACAAUAUCCUGAAGUAUGUUUUCCAAGUUGUUUGCUUUCUCCCUCUCCCUUUCAGGGAUGCCAGUGAUUCAUAAAUUUAGCCUGUUUACAUAAUCCCAUACUUCUUGGAGAUUUGGUCAUUUAUUUUUAUUUUUAUUUUUUUCUUUAUUUUUGUCUGACUCUCUUAUUUCAAAGAACCAGUCUUCAAGUUCUGAGAUUCUUUCCUCAGCUUGGUUUAUUCUACUGUUAAUACUUGUGAUUGCAUUGUGAAAUUCUUGUGUUGUGUUAUUCAGCUCUGUCAGACCUGUUAGGUUCUUUUUUAUACCAGCUAUUUUGUCCUUUGGUUCUUGUAUCACUUUAUUGUGACUCUUGUUUUCCUUGGAUUGGGUUUUGCCGCCAUCCUGAAUUUCAGUGAUCUUUGUUUCUCUCUGUAUUCUGAAUUCUACUUCUGUCAUUUCAGCUAGUUCAGCAUGGUUCAUAACUCUUGUUGCAGAACUAGUGUGGUCGUUUGGAGGACAUAUGACCCUCUGGCCAUUUGAGUUACUGGAGUUCUUGCAUUGCUUCUUUCUCAUCUCUGUGUGUGGGUGUUUCUUUAACCUCAGUGUAGAUUAAGUACAGUCAAUAGACUUCUUUUCUGAAUGUUUUCCCUGGGCUGAGGCUUUGUGUGGGGUCUUUAUUUGAAGCUGACUUCUUGUCUCUGGUUUCAGAGGCUGGAUAUGUUAGUAAGGUAUUAUUUAUGUUGAAGCUUUGGGGUGUGAUCCAGCAGGUGGCACUUAGGCUUAUUGGUCAGUUGUAUGGCUCCCCUAUGUUUCCUCACAGUUGCAGCUGUGUUUUCUCACAAUGCUCUGAAAGUGUGGGUUCCUCUCCCUCUUGAGUGCUGGCUGUGAUUAUGACUUGGGACUCCUGGGCUGCCCACUGGAACUCUGGGGUGAUCUCAGUGUUUAUGUUCCUUCCUCAAGUUGGAAGCAGCAGAGGAAGGGAUCUUAUUAGUGGUUGUGGCCAAGGGUUGUUUGCUUGUCUCCUGGGGGCUCCAUUCCAGAGAGAUGAAGGUCAGCAGUCACUCAGUGCAGUCAGCCCAAGGUGGAGCAUCUGUGCCGUGGGUCCAUGCCAGGGGUUCCCUGCCUGGUGAUGAGCAGUGGGAGAGGGAGUAUGGGACCCAUGGGAAACAGACUGAUCUCCUCUCCUUGGAUUGACUGCAGCUUGUUGGAGGUGUGAAUAAAGCACUUAGGGCCCUUGCUCCUUUGUUAGUCUGAGGGUGGCAAGGACAGUUCCACUGCAGAGGCAGUGGCAGAGAGGCUUUCAGAUGGCACUGGAGGCUCUGUUCAUGGAGUUGCUGAGUUGCUACUGGCUUCAUAGCUCUGGCAGGGGGUGGCUGGAGGCCUAGGCUUGGAGAAUCUGCCUGAUGAGGAGACAUGGGAAUGGGCACCAAUGUAACAGUCUGUCCUCUUUUCUGUCGGGCUGCUGUGGUAUUCUGGGGGCCUGCUCCAGUCCUUAGUUGCCUCAGAUAGUCCAGUACCUGGAGGUAUCACCAGUGAAGACUGUGAAACAGCAAAAAUAGCAGCAGUCCCUCCCUGAAGCUUCAUCCCAGGAUGAUACAGGCCUGUUGCCAAUGCAAAGGCACCUGUAGGAGGUGGCUGAAGACCCCAUUUGGGAGGUCCUGCCCAGUGAGGAGGAAUGGGAUCAGGGACCUGCUUAAAGAAACAGUCUGGCCAUGUUUUGGUAGAGCAGCUGUGCUGUGCUGGGGGUCCAUGUCAGCCCCUGGUUCCUCAGAUACUCUGAGGCCUAAAGGCUGGAACAGCUAAGUCAUCUAAAUGGCAAAGAUAGUGGCCCGUCUCUCCCUCUGGGAGCUCUGUCCCAGGGAGGUUACAAAUCUCUGUAGGAUGGAGAACACAAACAGGGGUGACUGUAGGUCCUGGUUGGGACAUUCCACCCAGUGAGGAGGAAUGGGAUCAGGGACCCAUUUAAAGAAGAAGUCUGACCACCUUUUGGUGGAGCAGCUGUGCUGUGCGGGGGGACCUCUUCUGCCCCCAGUCAGCUCAGACUCUCCAAUACCCAAAGGCUGAAACAGCUAAGUUAUCCAAACAGCAAAGAUGGCAGCCCACCCCUCCCUCUGGGGGUUCCAUCCCAGGGAGAAUUCAAACCUCUGUCAGCUGGAGAACAUCAGCAGGGGUGGCUGGAGGCCCCAGUUGAUCACCUGCUUCCUGAUGAGGAUAGGAGAGGCACUUGGUACAUACCACUUUAUCAAUUUAGCCAGUGUCUUCUGCAGCAUCCCCAUUUCCUCAGAGGGUCAAGACCAAUUUACAGUCACCUGGUAAAGGAGAACAAUAGACCUUUACGUCUUGCGUGAGGGAUAUUUACAUAACCUCAUAGUGGCUGCUGACCUGAGUAGAUGGAGUGCUCUGGAGAAGGCAUGUGUUUUCCAUUACAUUGAUGAUAUCACUAACUUCUGAGUCUUUUUUCAGCUUAGAAACUGCAGGCCCCACCUUGCUGUCUCACUUCGUGAACAGAGGAUGGGCGGUCAAUGUAGACAAAGUUCAGGGUCCAGGCUUAUCAAUCAAAUACUUGAGUGUCAUCUGGUCAGGUAAGACUAAAGUUGUUCCAUCUGUCAUUAUAGAUAUGGUGUAGGCCUAACCAUGUCCUACCACACCAAAGCAGUUGCAAACCUUCUUAGGCCUUCUAGGGUAUUGAUGUCUUUUUAUUCCCCAUGUGGCCCAACUUGUUAGGCCCUUGUACUGCUUAGUCAAGAAAGGGGCCCACUGGGACUGGUCCACAAAGGAGGAUGAUGCCUUUGGACAAGCUAAACUCACAGUGAAGUGAAUACAAACCUUGGGUGUUCUAGGGCAGGGACGGCCUUGUAAAUUUGACAUAGCCAGUUACUCCAAGAGGUUUGGGCGCAGCCUGUGGCAAAGGCAAGGACACAGAUAUGUGCCUGUAGUAUUCCGGUCCCAACUAUGGAAGGGUGCUGAAGUUAUCUGUAGAAUCAUGGAUGAACAAUGCUACACUACAUAUCAUGCCUUACAACAAGGGGAGGAUGUUACAAAGGGGGUCCCAUUCUAGUCUGCAGCCAGCACCCCAUAGCAGGUUGGCUGAAGGACACCUUCCAGAAACCAAAGUCUGGGAAUGCCCAGACACAGAGUGUGGCCAAAUAGCAUGCAUGCUUGCACAGAGGAGCACAUUAACUAGCACAGGGAGCACAUUAACUAGCACAGGGCUCCAUUUGGUGCGUGGCCCUGUCACCUACAUGACAGCUGAAGGAGGGCCUUUGACACAGACACUGAGCCUCCACAAAUUACCUCCUCAUGCAAGAGGGACAGGGCCCAAUUUCUGACCAGGCCUGGUACAGAGGUGGCUUGUCACGAGGCAAUGCCUGCACUUGGAUAGCCAUGGCCAUCCAGCCAUCCACUGAUAGUAUCCGGCUUGAUACAGGCAAAGGACAUAAUAGCCAAUGGGCUGAGCUGUGAGCCACCUGGAUUGUCUCUUCUGUGAGCCGGACCCAAUAGUCCUGUGCAUCAAUAGCUGGUCCAUCUUUAAGGGACUUACCAUGUUGCUACUACAGUGGGAAACACCGGAUUGGAUGGUAGCUGGCCACCCCCUUUGGGGAGGCUGACAUGUGGAAGGACAUUCUCCAUUGUAUCUGGGACAUGCAUAUAAUGGCCUAGCAUGUGGAUGCCUGCACAGCACCUGUACCACCUGGAAAUCAGCAGGUGGACUAGCUAUCCCUCAUUGACCUACUGGAGGAAGUUCUGUUUCUAACUUCCAAAAAGGUGUUAGAAACAGAAGAUGUGGCCCACUGGCUAACAAAAAGGACAUUAAGAACAAGAUACCUAUCGGGGGACCUGUCCCGAUAAUCAUGUAGGUUCUUUUCUAUUUUCUUAAGCAUUGGCUGGCUUGAGAAAUAAAGGGACGGAGUACAAAAGAGAGAAAUUUUAAAGCUGGGCGUCCGGGCGAGACAUCACACAUUGGUAGGAUCCGUGAUGCCCCACAAGCCACAAAAACCAGCAAGUUUUUAUUAGGGAUUUUCAAAAGGGGAGGGAGUAUAAGAGUAGGUGUGGGUGACAGACAUCAAGUACUUAACAGGGUAAUAGAAUAUCACAAGGCAAGUGGAGGCAGGGUGAGAUCACAGGGCCACAGGACUGAGGUGAAAUUAAAAUUGCUAAUGAAGUUUUAGGCACCACUGUCAUUGAUAACAUCUUAUCAGGAGACAGGGUUUUGAGAUCAACCGGUCUGACCAAAAUUUAUUAGGUGGGAAUUUCCUCUUCCUAAUAAGCCUGGGAGUGCUAUGGGAGACUGGAGUUUAUUUCACCUCUGCAAUCUCGACCAUAAGAGACAGGUACGCCCCGGGGGUGGGGCCAGUUCAGAGACCUACCCCUAGGUGCGCAUUCUCUUUCUCAGGGACGUUCCAUGCUGAGAAAAAGAAUUCAGUGAUAUUUCUCCCAUUUGCUUUUGAAAGAAGAGAAAUAUGGCUCUGUUCUGCCCCACUCACUGGAGAUCAGAGUUUAAGGUUAUCUCUCUUAUUCCCUGAACAAUUGCUGUUAUCCUGUUCUUUUUUCAGGGUGCCCGCAUUUCAUAUUGCUCAAACACACAUGCUGUACAAUUUUCGUAGUUAAUGCAAUUAUUACAGUGUCCUGGAAUGGUAUACAUCCUCCUCAACUGACAGGAUUAAGAGAUUAAAGUAAAGACAGGCAUAGGAAAUCACAAGGGUAUUGAUUGGGGAAGUGGUAAGUGUCCAUGAAAUCUUUACAAUUUAUGUUUAGAGAUUGCAGUAAAGAUAGGCAUAAGAAAUUACAAAAGUAUUAAUUUGGGGAACUAAUAAAUGUCCAUAAAAUCUUCACAGUCCACGUUCUUCUGUCAUGGCUUCAGCCGGUCCCUCCGUUUGGGGGUCCCUGACUUCCCGCAACAGGUACCCUUUGGGCCACAGUGAAGAACUGGUGCCCACCACUAUGACAUAAAGACAUAGUACGCAUCUGUCAAUAAUGUCCUAUGUGUGUGCAGGAGAGCCGCAGCCCCUUGCUGCAUGAUACUGGGCAGAUCAGCCAGGGUCGGAGCCUGGCUCCGUGGUGGCAGGUAGACUAUAUAGGACCUUUGCCCGUAUCUGAUGGCUGCUGCUAUGCCUUGACUUGUGCAGACCCCUACAAUGGGGCUAAUGCAGGCAUAUCCCAGCAAGCGUGCCACCCAGAAAACCACCAUAAAAAGACUAGAGCAGCUGUGUGCAGCAUAUGGCAUCCCCUACCGAUAUGGAUGGGGACCAGGGCUCACACUUUACUGGACAAAAAUACAUUAUCUAUUAUGGACUGAGUGUUUAUGUCUUCUUCAAAAUUUAUAUGUUGAAGCCCUGAAACCCACUGUAGCUGUAAUUGAAUGUGGAGCCUCUAAGGAAGUGCUUGAGGUCAUAAGGGUAUGGCCCUGACCUGAUAGGAUUGGUGUCCUUAUAAGAAGAGCCACCAGAGAGCUUGUACUCUCUCCCUGCACACACAAAAGAAGAGGCCAUGUCAGCACACAGUGAGAGGGCAGCUGUCUGCAGGCCAGAAAGAGAGCCCUCAACAGAAACGGCAUUGACCAGCACCUUGAUCUUAGACUUCCAACCUCCAGAGUGUGAGAAAAUUAACUUCUGUUGUUUAAGCCACCCCGUCUGUGGUAUUUUGUUAUGGCAGCCUAAGUGUCCUACUAUGAUAUCUUAAUAUGUGUUAUCUAGAAGGAGGAAAGGCUAAAACAAAGUCAAAGCCGUGAAUACCGAGGACUACAGGCACAUACCACCAUGCCAGCUAAUUUUUGUAUUUUUUGUAGAGACUGGGUCUCGCUGUGUUGCCCACCUUGGUCUCAAACUCCUGGCCUCAAAUGAUUCUCUUGCCUUGGCCUCCCAAAGCACUGAGAUUACAGGCAUGAGCUGCCAUACCCAGACAAGGAUUACAUGAUUGUUUUGAAAAACAUUAUCGUUGGUUAAAAAGAUUAAUAACAAGGGUGGCAUCAGUUUUGAGUUUGGACAGGCAGUUGCUGGGCAAAUGUCUGGUCUUAUUUAAAGCAUUUCACUCUUAUGUUUUUGAGAAAAUAACUUUUAUCUAAGGAAUGAAAAUAUUUUCAAUUUUCAGGCCCAGAGAGGCAUUAAAAUGAGACAUCCAAUCAUGUCAUACUCCUCCCUUUGAGCUAUAUCUUCAUCUCUGGAAACUGCUUGCUAUUGCCACAAGUAGCCAUAAAUUAACCUAAUAAUGCCACACCUGACACUAUAACCCACACCCUAUAACUUAAUAAUAUGUAGCCAGUCACUAACCAGUGCCAUUUCUGUAAACCCAUGAAAACUCCUGACAAACAACUUUGUAUCAACCCCACUGCUUGUCCCCCUUUUUUGCCUUUAAACAUCCACUUGUAACUGCUGCUAAGCAGAAUGUGCAUUCACUGCAACUUGCAUCCAUGAUCCCAGGUUGCAGUUCUCAAGCUUGGCCCAAAUAAAGUUCUACUUAUAUAAUUUUGCUUCAGCUUCUUCCUUUAAGGUUGGCAUACCCUACAUGGUGUAAUUUUUUUCCCUGUUUUUUUUUCUUUCAGGGGCUGGGACCUAAGUUCUUGUUGCAGGUAGCGGGGACCAGCCUACAUGCGUGAAGUGUGCAGGUGGAACACAGAGCACUCCACCCACCCAGGUGGAUAUCAGAGGAUGGGCGUUCAGGCACUGGUGAGGCCCAACCCUCUCCCUCAGUGACAUCUGCGUUCCUAAUAUUCUUUUUGAACAUCUGAAAUUCCACCAAAUUCCUGCCUGUCAUCUGGGAGAGACUCCUUGAGGCCAGGUGGAAAUCACACCCAGGUGUCACCAGGAUAAUGAUUCAAUCUCUUCUGCACUUAUUCCAGAGGGCAAGCCCACGACAGGAUGAAAUCCCAAUGCUCUCCUGUGUGCCACGUUCCAGAAGCUCAGGUUCCCCAGCAGCACCUGGGGUUGUGGGAAAGUCUUUCCUGAGGCCAGCCUGGGGCAUCUGGGAUCAGGGGCUGCUUGCCUUUCUGGAGGGGCUCAGCUCAGGACUGAGGGGGAUUCUGGGCUGGAACAGGAGUGCCUGAGUCCCGUCCAGAUGGUGUCUAUGAGCUGCAGGGGGCCCUCAUGCCAGGUUCUUUCUUACAUAGAGGAAACUAGGGUGACAAAAUGUGACCAAUGGGAGUUGGAGUUUACUCUUAUUUCCAAGGAAGCCAUGAGAGUCCUGUGACCCUGGAAAGAGAUGGGAUCCCCAGUAACUAGGGACAUGGCAGUGAGUGAUGCAGCCUGGCUUCCUGUCCUCAGAGAGUUUCAGGCCCACUGUCCCUGGACAGUGACAACCCAGAGUGGGCAGCUCUGGGAUGGGGGACAGGCACAGACUGCUUCUUUGGGAAUUUUGAUAUGGGGUUUUAGUGGCCCCUGCUGCUUGCUGGGAAAAUUCCCCACCUUGGAAUUGUAAUCGGUUUCAGGAGAAAUGACACACAGUUGCUCAUGGAUAUAAAAUAAAUUUUAUAACCAAAAUAGAACCCAGUGUCAGCACUCCCCAAGAAGAAGGAUUCAGGCUUGGUCCAGUGUGAAGCAAGUGGGCACUUAGGCAGGUGGCUUUGCCUAUUUUUUGUGCAUGGGCCCAUGGUGAGGGUUGCUGCAUGUUGGCUGGGUUUUGAGGGGUUUGAAUGUCCUUCUGCUGUGCAGAGAGGGAGCACAUGCUCUGCCCAGAUGUGCAGUGGAUGUGACUAAGGACUGGAAAGUUGAUAAUCUCCAAAACUGAAUGUUCUUGCCAUACAGGGAGAUGAAAGGGCUGCUAGAAAAUAGCUUAUCUAACCCUUUGAGAAAAUGUAAAGAAAAGGUUCCAACCCAGGUGUGUGUGACCGCAAAGUCUCAGGAUUGCUGAGACAGGGGCUCUUGCAUCCACGGAGCCCCGGGUCAGUCCCGCUGCCCUCCCUCCCACUCAGCCUGUGACUCCCCGACUCUGUCAUCAUCUCCCUCUGCUGAUUUCUCUUCCCAGCCUGACUCAGCUGCCCUGAGAGAUCAGGACCAAGGCCAAGGACGGCCAGCUGGGCUCCUCCCUCCCCAGAGACACCAACCCAACCCUGCCCUGAGGAAUGUGCUUCUCCUUGGCACUGGCUGGUCUCCAGACCUAAAUUCAACCCUCUUUUUAGCAGGCUGAAUGCCAAGCCCAAUCUCAGCCCGCCCAGGAAGGACCUAGGACUGAGGCUGUGAGCUCUCAACUUGUUUUUUUGGGGCAACAGGCCAGGGCAGCUAGCCAGUGAUUUUAGGAAAGACGAGGUGAACCUGUGCCCAGAGGAUUUUUUCCUCCCAGUGUUUAGUAACUGUUUGGCUGUGACUCACUAGGAAAAACUCAUAUCACAUUAUUUAUGGCUUACACACAGCCCAAAAGAAAGUUUAAUUAAACAGACGAAUAAGAUACUGUAGCGUGCACAUUCCUCUAUUCUUUACUGAUGCUAGUUUAAUAUCUAAGAUACCCAUGGUGACAAAUAAAUUGGUUCACAACCUGAAAAAGUGUCACAAUCCCCAUGUUGGAGAUCACUGCUCUACCCUGCAGCUGCAGGAGAGGGGAGGCCAGAAGUGAGAGUGAGAAAUGGGGUCGGGGAUGUGAGUGCUUAUCUCAUCCACCCAUGAGAGCGAGUGGGCCUGCAGGACUCUGGAAAUUGCAUGAGUAUUUCUGCCCCAUCAGCCUCCUGCCUGGUCUCCUGCUCCCAUCUCAGUCCUCCCAACCAGCCUCCUCCCAACAGAAGGACACACGGACUUUCCUGAAUCACAAUCUGAUCACUUAUAUUUCCUGCUUAGGGCCUGCCUGUAGCUCGGGUGCACUGAGAAGAAAGACCAGUUCUCACCGAGGCUCAUAAGGGGAGGUGGACAGGGGAAGCAAUGGGUAUGGUGGGAGCUUCCAUGGCCUCCUUGGACUCCAGAUCCUCUCAGCACCUCCAUGUGUUCAGCAGCCAGGAAGUUCAAUUCUUCUUGUUCAGGAGUUUUUAGGCUGGGCAUGGUGGCUCACACCUGUAAUCCCAGCACGUUGGGAGGCUAAGGCGGGUGGAUCACCUGAGGUCAAGAGUUCAAGACCAUCCUGGCCAUCAUGGGGAAACCUCAUCUCUACUAAAAAAUACAAAAAUUAGCCGGGCGUGGUGGCGGGCACCUGUAAUCCCAGCUACUCGGGAGGCUGAGGCAGGGAGAAUUGCUUGAACCUGGGAGGGGGAGGUUGCAGUGAGCCAAGAUCGUGCCACUGCACUCCAGACUGGGUGACAGAGCAAAACUCUGUCUCAAAAAAAAAAAAAAAAAGUUUUUAUACUUUGGUCUUUAUCGCCUCCCCAUCAUCACCUUUCUUGGAGGUUAGUGGGUGACACCGAAGGUUCCUUCCCUCUAAUCCUCAAAUCUUUUGGUCUUUCUUCUGGUGACUGCCGUGAUGCUGAGGCUACCUGGGGACCCUACCCUAAGUCAUAUUUUUAGCAUGAGCUGAUGCUGUGUGAUCUGAAAGAGGCUCAUUAGGAAUAACAAAAGACACUCCUGUCACUCAGGAAGUUCCAAGUUUAGCAUCAUAAUAGGAAGAGGGCCAAAGAACACACAUUUUCAUGUUACAGCACACCUGGUAAGCCAUGGGUUCAUCAGAUUGGACCCCCCUUACUCUGCCAAAUUUGCAGCACUCAUGAGUUACCAAUCCCAAGGGAGGACUCCCACUGCAGGGAGGAUGGCAAAGGUCACCACUGCGCUAACCACCCGGAAUAGGGGUCUGAACACUUCAGCCACCGCAUCUUGGGCUGCACUCUGACUACACUGAGCGUGGUGAACAGAACACCCACAGCCACAGCCAGUUCCACAAAGCAGGUUAAUUACUUACAGACAGGCAGCGAGGGACAGCGGAAGCCUAGGCUGCAUGACUCACUGGUCCCCCGAGGCUCAGGAGCACGGCCCAGGGCAGAUAGAGUCUCCCGUGCUUGCCCCACUUGCACCACAGCUGAGGACUCAGCAGUGAGCUCUGGGUUUUAUAUGUGGUGGACACGCCCUGGGCUAGUGUUACAGGAGACCCCCUCUAGAAGGGAUGGGAACGAGGCCAGGGCUGUCCUGGGCAGUUUCUCUGUAGCUCAAGUUGUUGCAUUCUCUGGGAAGAAUAGAAACGAAGCCCGGGCACUUUCAGGCAGUUCCUCCUUUCUUAGGAUGGUGCAUUCUGAUAUAGUUUGGCUCUGUGUCCCCACACAACUCUUCUCUCAAAUUGUAAUCCCCAUGUGUCAGGGAAGGGACCUGGUGGGAGGUGACUGGAUCAUGGGGGCAAUUUCUCUAUUGUUGUUCUCAUGAUAGUGGUCGAGUUCUCACGAGAUCUGAUGGCUUAAAAGUGUGUGGCAGUUCCCUGCUCCCUCUCUUUCUCUCCUGCCAUCAUGGAAGAUGUGCCUUGCCUUCCCUUCACCCUCUGCCAUGAUUGUACAUUUCCUGAGACCUCCUUAGUCAUGAAAAACUGAAUCAAUUAAACCUCAUUCCUCUAUAAAUUA
Molecule: RNA transcript, 13461 nt
Organism: Pan troglodytes (chimpanzee)
Lineage: Eukaryota; Metazoa; Chordata; Mammalia; Primates; Hominidae
Gene: IGFL2
Gene name: IGF like family member 2
Exons: 7
Source: RefSeq, a predicted model, not a curated record